This 510-nucleotide ribosomal RNA is filed under the name uncultured Glomus. RNAcentral describes it as "SSU rRNA". It matches the Rfam family "Eukaryotic small subunit ribosomal RNA", at positions 569 to 1081 of the family's 1831-position model. Lineage: Eukaryota; Fungi; Glomeromycota; Glomeromycetes; Glomerales; Glomeraceae. The record is from RNAcentral.
AGCAGCCGCGGUAAUUCCAGCUCCAAUAGCGUAUAUUAAAGUUGUUGCAGUUAAAAAGCUCGUAGUUGAAUUUCGGGAUCAAUACGUCGGUCGUGCUUCGGUACGUACUGGCGUAAUUGAUUUCUCCCUUCUGACGAACCAUGAUGUCAUUAACUUGGUGUCAUGGGAAAUCAGGACUGUUACUUUGAAAAAAUUAGAGUGUUUAAAGCAGGCUCACGCUUGAAUACAUUAGCAUGGAAUAAUGAAAUAGGACGUUCGAUCCUAUUUUGUUGGUUUUUAGGAUCAACGUAAUGAUUAAUAGGGAUAGUUGGGGGCAUUAGUAUUCAAUUGUCAGAGGUGAAAUUCUUGGAUUUAUUGAAGACUAACUACUGCGAAAGCAUUUGCCAAGGAUGUUUUCAUUAAUCAAGAACGAAAGUUAGGGGAUCGAAGACGAUCAGAUACCGUCGUAGUCUUAACCAUAAACUAUGCCGACUAGGGAUCGGAUGAUGUUAAUUUUUAAUGUACUCAUUC